UUCUCACAAAAAUGUCAGGCUGGCCCUCUAGGAAGACUCCACCAAAAUGACAAUAUGUCAUGGUGCUUGCAUCACCUUUAUUCGGUAUGCUACGCAGCAUCAUGGGCAGCAGCCAGUGACCUUAUUUGCCAUUAUUCUUUUCCAUCCAUAGUAUCCACUCCAUCUACAGCCAAUCUUUCCUGAAGAGAAGCGAGGACUCACUAUGGUUUUUAUCUGUUUUUGCAAGAAAUCAAAUCAAAAUUUUAUUACGCUUAUUGGUGGGGUAAUUUUUAAAUCAGCUUUUGUACAUUGAAACUAAAGUCUGCACCAAUCAAGUCUUAAACAAUUAUUUAUAUAUGGAGGGAUGCUUUCACAAUAUUCAAAUCAAAAAUGAAAAGCCAAGCCCAUUUCUGUAAAAGACUUCUUGUGAUACCUGCACUACGUCAUGGUGACUCUCUACAAAGAGUCAACUAACACGGUUUCUAGAGUGGUCAUAGUGCAAGUCUAGUAUGUGGUUUGGUUUAACACAUCAAACUACAAUAACCCAUACUAGACAGUAAGAGAUACUCUAUGGUCUACUGCUUAUGCUUCUCUCUUUGAUAUUUGUUUUUGUUGGAGGAAAUAGCUAGCUAGCUUGGCAUGGAGAGGGAAGCAAAGAAGAGGAAGACGGAGUAUAUUGAAGAAGAAGAAAAGGGAAAGGAAGAUGAUGAUGAUGAAGAAGAAGAAGAGAAGAUGGAGAAGUUCUUUGCUUUGCUGAGAAGUACAAAACAAAUGCAUGAUCAAAUAAGAAGAAACUCAAAUAGAAUAUUUAAAGAGAAAGAGGAGAUCAGGAAAGUUGGAGAAGAGAAGGUUAGCGUGGCUUGGAAUCCAUCAUUUCAGCCAGAAGAUUUCUUGGAGGAUGGCAAGGAUAGUCAGGCAGCAGCCGGUCCUUCCAAGAGAAAGGAAGAAGAGAAAAAGGACGAGGGAGAAGAAGGCACUGGCUUGGACCUAAAGCUUUCUUUGUAGAGGGUAACUGCCUCCCCCACAACUCCCUUCUCUCUUCUUGCAUGUUGAGAAGCUUUUACAAUGAAAGGUCGACCACUACAAUAAGUAACAGCAAUACUGGCCAGCAUUUCCAUGAUGUGCUGAGUUUAUCGAAAACAUAUUAUGUAUCCUGACGUCUCUCUGGCUUGUUUGGGUCUAUAUGAGGUAAUUAAGAUUUUUUUUUUAAGUUGAUGUUAUUACACAAGUGAUGGGAUAACCUAGCUCAGCGGACACACCAAGUCAUGUAAACACUUGUUCGACGAGAACUCAUGCUGUAUUUUUUAAAUAGGUUUGAGACAGUUUAGGAGAAUAUACCUUCUUUCUCCAACAAGAACAAGAACAACAAAUCCUCGUUUCCAGAACACGGUCAACUUUUAAUCGAACUAGGUAAUUUUACAAGAACAGCAAAGCCUAGUUUCAGACAUAGUUGAGUUUUAGAUUCUUUUGACUAGGUAAUCGAACUUUAUUCUCUAUGAAUUUGGUCCUAAAAAAAUAUGUUGUCGCUAUCCUAUCCUAUCUUUUCUUUUUGUUUUUGGAUUGCAUGCUAUAACGGGUCCGAAGUGUCGGAGAUUAUUUUGGAGUUAAAAUGACAUGGUAAUUUUACAAAAAGAUUUUUUAGCUAUGCUGAAAAAAUUAAAAGAACAACGCCCUAAAAUUAACAUUGGCAAUAAGUGACAACCUGCUUUCCAUGUUCAUUGUGAGCGUAAAACUACACUUUCAUCUCUAAAUUUUUAAUUUAUUUAUAUUUGAUCCUUUUUUGUUUAGGAUUUCUUCUUUAUUUUUUUUAAUAUUUUAGUUCCUUGAUCUUAAGAAAUGAGAGAUAAAGUCAUAAAAAAUUUAAAAAAGCUCUGGCUAAAUUCCAACCACCAAUAACUUUAAUUUUGAUGUCUAUAGAUUAUGUUUUAAAAGAAAAAUUCAAUUGAGAUGAUUUCUAUAGAUUACUGGAAAAUAUUGAAAGAGAAUAAAAAAAUAUAUAUCAUUGAGAAGAAUAUACCAGAACAUCUAGGAGAUUUGAAAAAUUUAACAGUAUAUUUUCGAUUGAUGAAGGCUUUAUUGGCAAAGAAAAAUUCAAUUUAAGGAGAAAAAAAUCAAAAUUGAAUGUUUAAGGACUCAAUUGGAAUUUUUCAAGGUUCAAUUGAAUUUAUUGAGAGCUUAAUUGUAAGAAAAUUGAUUUUUGAAGUCAAUCUAGGCUUUAAUUAACAGAUAUUAAAGUUUAGGGGUUGGAUUGUAAUUUUUAAGAGUUAAUUUGAUCAAAUUAGGGCCUUAAUUGCAUAAAUAUUAAAGUUUAAUAGACAAUUAGGGACUUGAUUGAAGAAAUUUAAAUUCAAGGACCAAACUAAAAAGACACAUAAUGUAGGGGCUAAAUUGGACUAAAUCAGGGGCCAAAUAGAAAAAAUUAAAAGUUUGUUGGUUAGUUGAAGGUCAAAAUACAUAAAUUCAGAAGAUGGUUGGAAUACACAAAUUCAGAACUAAGGACUUAAAUGAAAAUAACGGUAAACUUUGAGGCUGAUAAUUGAGUUUAACAAGGGUGAAAUUGCAUGAAAUUAAAAGUCUUGAGGCAAUUACAAGUAAAAGCAAUUGGAAGAACAAAGACUUGAUUGAAUUUUGUCAAAUCCCAAAUAAAUAAUCCUAAAUAACGUGUCAUUCAAAUUUAAUGAAGUGAAGGUGAAUGACACGUCAUUCGUCAGUUUGCACCUUUAUUUUGAUAGUUUUGACUGAUUGAGUUAACAACUUCAAACGUAUUAAUAUGGAGUUUCAGGCAUUCAAAUUGAGUAAGGUUGGAUCCAAAUGAAAGAUAUUCUUCCCCUCUACGAGGAUUAGGUGGUUUCAGGCGACGAUGACAUCAGAAUUGCUCUAACGAGGCCUCGAAAGUAGGCAACUCAAUCAGCCCCAACAAUGUAACUAUCAUGCAAAAAACAAUUUGAUUUUUGUGUGUUUACAUGUUUACACACAAAAGCUCCUCAAUGGGUUCUUAUCAAGAGUUCACAACACUCAUCUCAAGAUCAAGAGGUCAUAAAUUGAUUCAAGACCUCUCAAAACCCUAAUAAAACCCUAUAAAUACCCAUUCAAGAUCAAGAAAAGGGACUAAAGAAAAGGAAAAGAAAAGAAGAGAUAAGAAAAAGAAGAGAAAUAUAAGGGUAGAGGUCCAAAAGUCUAAACAAAAGUUUAGACUAGUUGUAAGAGGCAAAAGUUUCCUUAAUCUUUAUAAGUUUGUAAGAGGCAAAAGUUUCUAAAAGAAAGCUAAGAGAGAGUAGUUGUUCUAGGUAUAUAUUGCAGGCCCAAAAACAGGUAUUUUAUGGCCUGCCUUUUUUUUUUUAUUAUUAUUUGUUUUGGUUUACAUUUAUAGUUACAAUCAUAGAAAAAAGGUUUAAACUGUUUAACAAAUGGUGUUGCAUUCACCUCUCUGUUGCUGUGAUUUCUAUUUAAUGAAGUUAUUUUAUAUUUUUGAUGUAUUAAAUUUGACUUUUAUGUUCUCUUUUUGAUAUAUAAAUGUUGUUUUAGCUUUGGUUUAACCUAAGCUAUACAUGUUAAAGUAAGAGUGUUUAUCCUUAGUUUGUUAAGCUUGUUUAUGCACAAAAUGAGUUUAAAAAAUCAAUUUUGAAUCCAUGUUGCAUGAACAUGUAGGUUGUUUGAGGUUAUUAGUUUUUGGAUUUGGUAUUUCAUACUUGAUUUUGAUGUUUUUUUCUGUUAGUUUUAGAUUCAAACAUGUUUGUGUAUGAUAUUGUGACUUGUUGGAAUAAAAAAAGCAUGUUUUAGAGGAAAAAAAGGCUCAUUUCUAGGCUUGACAAUGGCUACCUCAUGGUUGGGUUUUUUGUUGGGUUCUAGGCAAUGUUUUUCGUAUUAUUAAGAAGAACAUUGUCUUAAACCCUUGAUUUGGAUCAAAAUUUUGAUCCAUUUGUUUGUAGAGAAUCCUACCUUACGCAUGGUUAACCAAUAAUCUAGUAUUUAUUUGUAUUAACAACACAUUUAUAAUGAUUUUUAAUUUUAAGAUUUUGAUUUUGAACCAAAACCCAUUUUGACCAAAUCGUGAUGAUUUAAUCAUAAUUGAAGUGAAUGAACCUUUAAUUCUUGAUCCUUGAAUAAUUUACAACUUUUAUAUGCUUUUGAUUUUAUGAAAUCUGGUCUAAAUUUGAGUUCACGUUGUUGGGUUUGUUUCGAGUGUUCUUGGUGUUCUUCGUAUUCUUUAUUUUUUUUUGAUCCAUUUUGUUUAAGAAUUUUUGAAUUUUUAUGUUUUUUUGGGUGUUUAAUCUGUUUUUUUGCUUUAAUUUUAUUUUUGGGUUUUUUCUUCCGGGUCAAACUAGAAUUUUCUAUUCUGUUUAUGGGUGAAUAAAAAAUUUUAGGUCAACCCGGUCGGGUCGGGUAAAUAUUUUUUUUCUUGUAUAUGACUAAAAAUCCUAAAGUUAUUUAAGCAUUUUUUUUCUUAAAAACAUAUCUUAAAAUACCUUGACAUGUUUUUUUUUUAAAUAUUGGUUGGAUUUUAUAAUAAAUUUGUAAAAUUUCAAAGGAUUUUUAUCUACAUUUCAAAAAUACCAAAAAAUAUUAUUUUUUUAUUUUAAUAUGAGAGAUUAUGAACUUACAUGUAAGAUAUAUUUUUAAUAUUAAAUAAAAAAAUAAUUUUUUUUAUUGAUAUUAAAAUGGUUAGGUUUUUAAUUUGAUAAGAUAAGAAUUUUUUUAUUAGACUUUUUCUUAAAUCUUAAAUAUAUCAUCAAUUAAAAAAAACAAUUUUUCCAUAUUAAUAAAUAAUAUAAUUUAUCUCAAAUAAAACGUAUUAGGAGUGACCCGUUCUGUCAAAUUUGUGUUAGAGCGUGUUUGACAGUGUGGUUGCGGGUGCUUUUCAAAUAACUUAUCAUUGGAAAUUUGGAAGAACGUUGUGGAAGGCAAAUUGAGGUCCAGGCUUUACAGCUUCCAAAACAUACAAAUCAUAUUAAAUUUUAAUAUAAAAAAAAAAUUUCAAAUUUUUUGGGAUCGCAGCCGCAGCCGCGUCCCCAAACAAGCUCUUAAUAUGGAUGGUAUUGACUGUACUGAACGGUAGGCUGUAACUCUAUGGGCAGCAUCAUUGGAAAUUUGGAAGAACGUUGUGGAAGGCAAAUUGAGGUCCAGGCUUUACAGCUUGUCAAACCUUUCAUAAUAAAUUUAUUCCAGGCAAAGUAAAAAACUUUUCUUUAAACAUCUAGGAGGAGAAUUUUACCUUGCCAAGCUGCACAGUUGCCUCUAAUAAUUUAUGCCAUUUGCUUAAAGCAGCCUUUUUUUUUUUGUCGGGGCAGCCUUGCAUUCACCUCUAAUAAUUGAUGCCAUUUGCCUAAAGCAACUUUUUUAUUUUUAUUUUUUUGUGUGUUGGAGCAGCCAGGAUGAUGCUCAAUGUUUCUUAGAUACUUGUCUCAUCACAAGAUUAUCUGCUUAAAAAAUCAUGAUUCUCAUUCAUUAGCAUUCCCGAAGAUAAAAUCUUUUGAGGAUCGAAGUACUUAGCCACUCACAGGUACAGUUUCAGAUAUCAUAGAGCUCAACAGAUACAGCAAAGACAGUAAUCAAAGUUGACAGAAAAUUUUACAAGGAAAAAGAUCCUUGACUGAUGCAAUCCUAUGACGUAUAUGAUCAACCACUAGUUAAUAGCAACUUUGAAAGAAAGCAUCCUACUUGAUAACUUCGGUCACCUUCACCGGACGAAAUUAAAAGGCAUCGCAAACUCCAGCAGGUCUAUGUCCCCACUAGAAUGACAUAUUUUCUGUGAUUUUGUACCGGGUUUUAUAAAUAUACAACUAAAGUCACCCUGCAGUGAGAAGGCAGGGGCUGAUCAACCACUAAUAUAUAGUGUGUGUCAUAAAAGUUUGGUGAAACAGCACUUACAAAGCAAAUGGAGGAGGAAAGAAAAAACAAGCUGAGUACUUUUGCUUCAGAGUGGUAUUUUCAAGAUGCAUGGAACUUAAGAUGCAGUAGAGUUAGAGCAGUGUGUGUUAAAUACAAGGAUAGAUCAUCUCUUAAGAAGGAACUUCAUUGAGAACACUUAGUGAUAAGGUUCAGGAAUCCAAACUCUUCACAUUCAGGGUGCACACAGCUGAACUCUUGAGUUCUGUGCUGAAUGAAACUAGAGAACAAGGGAAUUGUGCGGGGUAUUUAUAUGCCCAAAUUAAGACACGCAUUGUGUUAGUUACUAGGGGGAGGAAAUGGUGUACCAUUUGCUUACGCUAUAUUGAAUUUUCUGACCAUGAUGAAACUACAUGAUGCAGAGUGGAGACACGUGUACAUUUCCAUAAAGUCCCCGAGAACCUUUAUUGUGAACGUGUCAAGCUAAACAUUGAUCUGGCUACUAAUGAGCUGAUUCUGAGUGAUGCACCUAAUGAAGCUAUUCUGGUAAAGAUUAAUAAUAAGAUUCCGGGACGUGGCUUGCAGUUGGAUGCUUCCGAACUCAAUUUGCUGUAUAAGGACAAGUAAGCACUUUCAUGUUACAAGACAUGUUCUAUUUAAAUUCACAUUUCCUAAAGUGAAGCCAAUUCAGCACCCUUGUUCUAUAAUUUGACAUCUGGCUUAUUCUUUAUUUUAAUUCCUUAGGUAUAAUGCGGAGGUGCCUGAUUCAUAUGAGCAUCUUCUUCUUGAUUUCAUUGAUGGAGACAACCAUCUCUUCAUGAGGAGCGAUGAGCUUGCUGCUGCAUGGAAUAUUCUAACUACAACUCUACAGGAGAUAGACGAGAAACGUACGACACCAGAACUCUCUGAAGAGGUAGAGGUCCAAUUGGACCAUAUUAUCUUUAUGCAAAAUAUCAGGUUCGGUUGGUUGGUAGACGACUGAAGCUUGUUGAAGGCUUCGAAUCUGAUGUUUGAGAACAACUACAUGCAUGAUAGGCAGUAUGAAAUAGUCAUUCCGUCUCCAGGACCACGUGAAAUAAAUAACUGUAUAUAUGCUUAGCGUGUAAAAUUACUCUGAUUUACUGAAAUGUUCAACUAACAUGUUCCCUGUUUGAUUUUCUGUUACCACAGUCCAGCUGCCUUAACUAGCAAAAUAAUGGCCUGCUGAGGGCGAUUGAAGCUUCUUAUCGGAGCUUCAAAUCACCAUAAAAUCACGGAGAAAAGCUUUGGAGAUCCCCAUCAAUUUCUUUUUCCUUACAAUUUCCAAAGUAAGAUUCAGUUCUAUGUUCUUGACAAACAAUGAACUUCAAUCACACGCUUCUGUAUCAUAUAAUAUCAUGACAUGCUCAACUGUCAGAACUUGAAUUGUGUUUUAGACAUUAACCGUGGAUACCAUGCUGUUGUGCAUCAGUAGCACAAUCUACUUUCCUGUCAAUAAAGUUGAAUGCCAGUGAUCAUGGAGCUCUGGAUUUGCCAGCCUAGCUUGGCCCAUAAUAAAGAUAUUUCUGUGAACACAGCUUAUCUAUUGAUGGAACUUGAUGUUUAAAAUUUCAGCAAGAAUAAUGUGAAUUCAGGGCCCACCUGAUAUCGAAGGUAUCUUAUUUGUGCAUUAAGUUUGGUUGACUCCACAGAAGACCUAGUUCACUGACUCUAGUUUAAACUUGGCUAAGGCUAGUUAGGUAGGUAUUAGUAUUACUACAUAAAUCCAAAGUUCCCCAUCCAUUGCCCAUGUGAAUGCAAAGCUCAGUCAUAGCGAUCCAACUCCCCUAUUUUGAAUCUAUUCAUGUCUGACAAUCUCCAUCCACUAUAAUGUCUUCAUCUUACAAAAGCAGUUGGAAGCUGCUUAUCAGGGAAGGUGUUGCUUUUACCCCACAACUCUCUGGUUGUUGAGCAGCUAACAGCAGGCAAGAUGAACCUCUUAGCUACCGCUAUGAAAUUAUUGAUGAAUUAUUUUUUAUUGGUAAUGUUCAAUGAUAACAGCGAUGGAUUUCUGUCGGCAAUUUCCAAUGUAAUUUCUUACAUGAAAAAUUCGGUCCGUAAUUAAAGAUGGAAUCUCCAACACAAUAAAAUAAAUUAAAAAAUAAAAUAAAUAAUAUGUCAAUGAUUCCAUUCUUAAUAUAACACGUCAUUAUUUUCCAAUGAAUUGACCGACAAUAUUUUUCAUUGCAAUAUUUUAUCGAUAAAUUUAAAAAUGUUAUAACCGACAUUAGCCCCAUUCUCCCCUUCUUUUCUUCUUCUUUUUCUUCUUGAACUACAAAUCAAAACAACAACCCCUCUCACCUAUUGUGCCAUAAAUCUAGGCCUUAUCAUUAUAAAUUCGGUCACCCAACACAUUGCAGUGCUAACAUCAUUGUCUUGUUACUAUUUUUUUCUAAAUAUUACCUACACCAAGUAAGUAAACCUAUCCAUUAAUGUUUUAAGAUAAUGUAUUAAUAUUUUUCUUUAGUAUUGCUUGUAUAUUUAAGUAUUUUACAACCUUUUCAUAUAGAAUUAAAAUUUGAUUUGUAUGUAAGAGUUUGUUUGUAAUUUGAGAAAAUUUGAAUUUGUUUGUAAUUUGAUGAAAUUUAUUUUGUAACUUUUGUGUAUUAUAAAUAACUAUCAUUUUUUGUCAAUUUUAUUGUUAUGUUGGAGAUUUUGGAGAAAUUAAUUUUUUAUGGAAUUGAUAAAAAUUAAAUUAUAAUAAUUUAGAUUGAAUAAGUUUGAAUUGAAAAAAUGAUAGAUAAUUAGUUGGGUACCAAUUAAUUAUUGUUAGUUGGAUUUAUUUAGUUAAUGACAUAUCAUUACAUUUUUAUACAAAAAUAAUAAUUGGUUAUUACAUUGUGAAUCAUUUUUAAUUACCAAAGUGGAAUUUUAAAUUAAUUGUUAUAUUAUUUAGAAAUAUUGUCAUCAUUAUUCUAUAUAGGUUUCCUAAGUAAUGGAUGAUCAUUCUUAGAUGUAUCAAGAUUCACAUCAAAAGUUGUAUAGGGAGGAUUAUUGUAAAGGGAUGAAGGGUUUUAUUAAUUUCACACUUUUAAAUUCGAAGAAUAUUAGUUAAAGUGAAAUUAGAUGUCUAUAUGUGGAGUGUAAAAAUAAAAUUUUCUGCCAAUUAGAUGUAGAGUUGAUGCAUCUUCUUAAAAAGGGUUUAUUGAGAAAUACUUAUGUUGGUUUGCACACAAAGAACCAUAUAUUCCUUACAAGACCAUGUUAAAAAUGAUUGUUGGCUCAACAUCUAGUUCUAACAAUAUACAUAAAGUUGUAUAUGAUAAUAGUAAUCGUUAUAAGAGUAUGGUGAUGUAUGUAAUAGAACUAAAUCAUAGUUAUUCAUGUGAAGGUUCACAUGUAGAUGAAGAACCAAAUAUAGAUGCAACUAGGUUUCUUGAAUUUCUAAAAGAUUCUGAUUAACCAUUAUGAGAUGGAUGCACAAAUCACAGUAAAUUAUCAAUCAUUGCACGAGUGUUUACCGUCAACUUUGAUUAUGUUAUGAGUGAGGCCGGUUAUGAUAGCAUGAUUAAAUGAGUAAAAAGCAUUUUACCUUAAGGAAAUAGGCUGAAAAGAACUUAUAUACUGCAAAAUUCAUGAUGAAAUCCUUUAGCACAGGAUACCAAAAAAUAGAUAUAUGCCAAAUUUAUACAUGUUGUACUAUGGUAAAGAUAUAAAUUUAACCGAGUGCAAAACCUGUGAGCAUGUUCUGUAUAAACCCAAUAUGAGUAGGGGAAGGACACUUGUUGCAUAUAAAAAAAUGAGACACUUCUCAAUCACUUCUAGGCUACAGAGGUUAUUUAUAUCUCCGAAUACAUCUAAGCAUAUGACAUGGUAUCAUUCACAUGAUGCGAAGGGUGGAGUCAUGGUGCACCCUUGUAAUGAUGAAGCUUGUAAACAGUUUAAUAGGGUGCAUCCUUAGUUUUCAAUGGAACCACGAAACAUGUAUCUUGAUUUGUGUACAAAUAGAUUUAAUCCAUUUAGGUCAUUUAUUGCACCAUAUUUUAUUGGCCGGUCAUACUAACAAUUUAUAAUUUGGCCCUGGAGAUGUAUAUGAGGCCAAAAUCCAUGUUCUUAUCUACAAUCAUACUUGACCUUACAGUCUAGUUAGAAAUAUAAAUGUUUGUCUUAAAUUAUUGAUUGAUGGGUUUAAAUAGUUAUUGUUAUUUAGAGCUUUGAUAUAUGAUGUCGUAAGGAAAUAUAAUUAUCAAAUGAAGAUAGCUUUGAAGUGGACUAUAAAUAAUUUUCCCGUGUAUGAGAUGGUUUCAAGAUGGAGCACACAUGAAAAAUUAGCAUCUUUAUAUUGUAUGGAAAACAAUAAGACCUUUACCUUAACAAAUGGUGUUAAAACUUCUUUUUUUAUUGCCAUUGAAGGUUCUUGUCAAGUCAUCAUUGAUACAAAAAGGAAAAAAAGACUUCUUAAAAGGUAAAGCUAAAAGGGAUGUUGCACCUCUGGUACUAUUGGGUGAAGAAUUGUAUAAUGUAGUCUCAUAGUAUGAGAACAUUGUAUUUGUUUUUCAAUUCGAUAAAUAAAAGCUUCUUGGUUUUGAUGUGAUUCAUAAUUGAGUAAAGCAAAGUAUUUUUUAGGAGCUUUCUUAUUGAAAAACUAAUGUCAUCUACUAUAAUUUGGAUGUCAUGCAUAUUUAGAAGAAUAUAUUUGAAAAUAUUUUUUAACAAAAUAAUGAACGUCAAAAGGGAAAAAAAUGGACAAUAUCAAAGCUAGAAUGAAUAUAACUUUGUUUUGUGACCGUCAAAAUAUAAAGUUGCUUAAUGAUGAGGUACGUGUGACAAAGCCUAAAACCACCUUUUUCGUAGAUAAAAAACAUGAUUUAUUAUCCAUGAAUGGCUUAAGAGUUUGCGAUUUCCUGAUAGAUAUGCUUUGAACAUAGUUAAAUUAGUGAGUUUAGAGGAAUACAGAUUGUAUGAAAUGAAAAAUCAUGAUUGCCAUGUGUUUAUACAAACACUCAUUCCAAUUGCAUAUAGGGAUUCAUUGCUAAAAAAGAUAUGAUAUGAACUCAUGAAGAUUAAUCAUUUUUUUAGAGAUGUUUGCUCGAACAAGUUACGUUCAUAACUUAUAGAGUAACUUGAAAGGAACAUCAUUAAGACAAUCUAUAAACUUUAGAUAAUCUUUCAUCCUUUUGUUUUACUCAAUAGAGCAUUUGUCUAUACAUUUAGCAUAUGAAGUGAAAGUUGAAUGGCUUGUGCAGUACAAAUAGAUGUAUCCUAUUGAAAUGUUAGAGACUUCAUGCAUUAUACGUGUGUAAUGUGUUUUUUAAAACUUUUGGUCAUUCAAUCUAUACAUAUUUACCUCCAUACAUAUAUUUGUUCAACCUCAAGAAAAAAACUAAAAACAAAAAGUAUGUUGAGGUUUCGAUAUGCGAGACUUAUAUUGUUUAAGAGAUUUCAAUAUUUAUCUCAUAUUAUUUUGAACCACAUGUGAGAAUAAUAUCAAUCGUGUUCCAAGGCAUAAUGAUGGUGGUGGAUUUUCUUCUAGUGUUAAUUUUUCAAUAUUUUUCGAUCCUGAUCGACCAUUGUCGAAGAAUGUAGUUUCGAUAAGAUAUUUGAAAAACAUCGAAUUUAGACAAACAAAUAAUUAUAUGCUAUUUAACUAUGAUGAAUUGAGGCCUUUUGUUUAGUAAGUCAAAUUUACAAUUUUAAUGAAUGAUCAUUUUCUCUUGUAUUUUCAUUUAUGCUAAAUGAUCACUAACUUCUUUAUAGGCAUUAUCGUGAUUUUUUGUUAUUCUAAAAUUUGUAUCUCACUAAAACUCAUUUUCCAAAUACAAGAUGAAAAUUCACCAUAUGGUUUAAAACACAAGUAUGCAAUAAUUUAUAAGUGUAACAAAAAUACAUUGACUUUACUCUCUCAUUUUCAAUUGUUAAUGGUUGUUAUCUUUAAAUAGGUAUACAACAUGAGAAGUAAUGUUGAAAGUUUGAAAUUACUAUCUUGGAUCUUGAAAGAAAGAUCCAAUGUUAUAACAUAUAUUUCAUCAAUGCAUAUGUCUUUCAUACUAAAGAUUAUAAUAUCAGGGUUUAUAUUAAGGGAUCAAAUUCUAAUAAUUUUGAAGUUGAUUAUUAUGGCAAAUUAAAAGAGAUCAUUCAACUGCAAUAUUAUAGGACAUAAAAUUUAGACCUUUUUAUUCAAGUGUUAUUGGUAUGAUACUGAUAGAGAAAUUAGGCUAAAUCCUCAUCAUGGUUUUGUCAAAGUCAACAAAAAAAAUUAGACUUAGGAACAUUAACAAUGUUUUUGUAUUUGCCAAACAAUGCCAACAAGUGUAUCACAAUUACACUCCUUCCUUUAGAAAUGAUCAUAAUAAAAAUAAUCGGUUAUUCAUUAUGAAAACUAAACCUAGGAGUCAUAUCCAAGUUGUUCAUGAUGGUAAUGAGAAAGUAACUAGGGGAGAAGAUAUAUUUCAACUAGAUGAGUUAGUUGAUCUUUAUUGAGUUAUUUCAUCUACUGAGUUAGAAGAAGAUUUAAAUUUUCUUGUAGCGGAGAAUACUUAUGUUCAUUUUGAUCUUGACGAGUUAAAUGAUAUAUUGAGUACAAUUGAAAAUACAGAUGUCAUAACCCAAUUCUGGGUUAUUCCCCCAAAAUUCAUUUUUUUUUUAAAAAAAAUAAAAAUAAAAAAAUAUAAUAAUAAUAAAAGCUGGCAAUGUGGAGAAAGCUGAUCAAGAAAAAUAGGCAAAAUAGGCAAAAAUCAAUCUGCAAUUUUCGGAGGAAAUUCAAGGCCUUUCGGCGCCCCAUUGUGCCCAAAAUCGGAGAAAAAAUGCAAAUGCAAGGUCAAAUUAAAUGAUUAUUGGACAAAUUUGCAUAAAAAUUAAGUCCAAUAACAUAAUUAAAUUUUUAAUAGGCCAAUUUGAUUUAAUCAUGGGCCAAAUUAAAUUUUAAUUAUGUUUAAGAAUUAAUUUAGGUCCAAAUGAAGGAUUUAAUUAAGUGCAAGGACUUAAUUAUACUUUAAAUGGGUCAAAUUAAUUUUAUUUGGGGCUUAAUUGGUGAAAAAUUAAGUUUGGGAGCCUAAUUUGGGCUUGAUGGAGAAUAUUGGAAUUUUAAGAGACCAAAUUUAAUUUUUACCAAGUUAAUUGAUUGAAAUCAGGGGUCAAAUUGCAAGAAAAUUGAAGUUUUGGGGCCAAUUAGGGGUUAAAUUGACAAAAUCCAAAGCCAAGGGCCAAUCUGCAAAAGGCGCCAAACUAUAGGGGUCUAAUUGACAAAAGCCGGGGGUCAAAUUGAAGAAAUUGAAAGAUGGAGGACUCAAUUGAAAAUCGGUAUAAAAAAAAAAAGGGAAGGGACCAGGCGACGCGUCGCCUGGUCACUGUUCAUCUUCUUCCCCACAAAGCUGCCCGAGUAGCAGCUUUCCAGGCGCAUUUUCUACCUCGUUUGGCCUCCAAAUCCGACAACGCGUGCACCAAAAUGUCCACCUAAAACCCCUUUAUCCUCGAGAAGGGUCCGGUCGGGUAGAAAAACUUUGAAACGGCUUCGUUUAUUGGCCCAAAGUGGCCACCUCGUUCAGUCUGCAGCCUUGGAUUGCCAAAUUUGGCAAUUCGAGGUGCACACUUUGAACCAACGGAUGAGAUUCCUCGAGUCGAAUCAAGGGCUGAGACUUUUUCCCGUUGAAGACAAGAUUACCCUCUUUCCAGCCCUAUAAAUAGGAGCCAAUUUCAUGCUCAGGAGGAGGAGAAAAACGAGCUCAAAGUUGGCCGAAAACCAGCCUUUUGUACCCAUUUUUCUGCAAACAAUCACUUUUGCUGCUUUCUCUCUCCACCGUGGCCUUCAGCCACCAUCACCUUCAUCACCUAGCUUCUCACUGUCAUCCCCACCUCCAGUAGCCAUAAAACCAUCUCACGUGACAGUUGCACCACUUCUCUCUCUCUCUCUCCUCUGUAAAAUCUCCUCCUCUGCCACCGGGACUCCAGCAGCGGCGGCAACAGCAGAGCCAGCAGCCACCACCUUGCCCAGAAGUUUUCACUCCUACCAGCAGCAGCUAGAGUAGCAUCUCCUUCCCCCGUCACACCAACAGCUCCAGCCGUGAGCUUUCCUUCUCCUCUGCAGGAAUCUGCUCCUUCUUCUUCCAGCCGUGAACAGUGCAAGCCGCCUGCCUCACCACCUUCAGUUACACCGUGCACCACCAGCUAGGCCGCCGACUCUCUCCACGCCAGGUAACUCGCCCCUCCCCUGCUACGCCUUCCUUUUCCUUUCACCGUGGCUGCAUGCAGAAUUCGUUUCUGCAUGCAGUGGCUAAUUAAUUAGCCACUUGCUUGGGCCGGGCCGGUUCUGGCCCGGCCCGGAAAAAAGAGAGAAGGACAUGUUGGGCCGAGACCGGCCCAACCCAAGGGUCCUGGACCGGACCAACUGUUUGGGCCGGACCGGCCCACAGAUUUAAUAAAUUUAAUUAAUUAUUAUGUAUUAAAAAAAAAUCAAAAAAAAUCAAAACAAAAAAAAAAAUUUCAAAAAUCAUUUCAAAAAAUUUGUGAUUUUCUUAAAUAUUUUCCUACCAAGUUUGCUUAAUAUUGGGUUGUAUACUUACAUGAUAAGAUACAAGUCCGGUAUUAAAAUGCCCGGUUUUCUCAGAAAUAUUCAAAAAAUUUUUAUUGCAUACGGCCAAGUCCUAAAGAAUUUUCCAAGCAUGUUUUCUUUUCAAAAUAAAAAAAUUGCAUCUUUCUCACGUUUUAAAAAUCCAAAAAAAAAUGGAUAUCAUAACUAGUUUAUGAUCAUCUGUUAGGGUUUGGCCAAAAUGUCAAAAACUUUUAUUUCAAUUUUUUUUUAGGAUUCAGAUGUAGACUUUAAUAUUUGUGGGGUGUAAAAUUACACGAUAAAGUACACUCUCGGAUAUUAAAGAUACAAGGUGUAAAUAAAAGCAAUUUUAAAAUUCAGACUUUAGAAUGGUUAGGAUUUAACCCAAUGAGGUAGAGACUCCCUCAUGAAGGGAGAUCUGCCUUGAACCUUAGAAAAGACCAACGAAUAGAACUUCGACCUAGAAAGAAUAAUCAAACAACAAUGCAGCUUACCUUAGGUAGGGUGCACUAGGGGUGAUGCGUCUUCCCCUUGCACAACCAGUCCCUUACUCAGACUCUCGCUGAGUUAUUUCAUCUACUGAGUUAGAAGAAGAUUUAAAUUUUCUUGUAGCGGAGAAUACUUAUGUUCAUUUUGAUCUUGCGAACGCCGCGCUGAUUUUUUGACGUGCGACAACAGAAGUUGAUAAAGAUGAAAUAAUCGAACAAUUUAAGUUCAACAAAGAAGAUGAUGGACAUGAAGAUGAUAGAGAUUUAGACUAAAUAGUGGAUCUGAACUGAUUUUAGUUGUAAAACAUCAUUAUGCAAUAACAUAUUUAUUGUCAUUGUAUAAUGCGUUGUACUUUUUACAUUUAUCAAACAUUUAUUAUUGUUGUUGUUAAAUAAGUUAUGAAUACACCUGUUAUUACUGCUUAAUUAGAUUUGAUAGGGAUUAUAUCCAAUAUAUAUAUAAAAAUAAAUUACAAUAAAUUUACUGAUGGAAUCACUAAUAAAUAACAUUAAUAAAUUAUUAACUAACUAUCAUUUAAUAAAUCUUCAAAUAUAACUUCAUUGAUGGACUCAUCGGUAAACAAUAAAUUCAUCGAAGAAUUACAGAGAGUUUAGGGAAGGAUUCAACAAUUUUAAUUUAUCGACAGAUCUACCAAUAUAAGUUAAUAACUUUGGAGAAUUACAAAGAGUUUGGGUAAGAAUUUAGAAAGUUUAAUUUACCAAUGAAAGUUAAAAACAUCAGAGAAUUAUAGAGAGCUUGGGCAAGAAUUCAAAUGGUUUACUUCACUAACAGAUUUAUCAACAAAUGAAAAUUCAUUGGUGAAUUUAGGGAUGUUCAAAAGAAUUUUGAAUUUUUUUUAAAUUACUUAUGAAUUUACUUACGACUUUAAACUCUUAUAUCAGUUAACCUGUUAGUGAUGUGGUGACAUGGUUAAUGAUCAAAGGACUCACCGAUAAAAUUUUUUAUUAGUAAUGUUUAAACCUAGAUAUAUCAAGGCAAUCCUUAACUUUUCCUCAUUUCCCUUACAAUCUCAUCUUUCUCCCCUUCUAUCCCCUCUCUCUCUCUCUCUCUCUCUCUCUCUCAAUAUGUAUUACUUUUCCUUUUUUAUUUAUUUCACUUCAUAAUUUUCUUGAAGAUUCUUGAUUAUUAAAGUUUAGGUAUUUUCUUGUUUUUAAGCAUUUUAGUUUCAUGAUUUUGUUUAUGUGAUCUUUACAGUGGUAUGACACUCACAGAUUGACUUCAAAACGCUCUCUUAUUAUCUCAUGAUAUUAAAUGAUGAUACAUAGGAUGAGAAUGGAACUUGUUAAAUUUAAAUGGUAACAUAACUUAAUUUAUUUAAUUUUUUAUUGCAUGGAAAAAAGUAGUUGGUGUUACUUUAAUUGAGCAUUUUUAUUAUUAAAAUUUCAUUGAACAUUAUGGUACAUGGAUGCCAUCCUUUUUUCUAGAUGUACUAAUUUAUAUGGUGGUAAUCUUACAAUCAUCUUGAAAAUGUGUAAACAUUAUUGGUUCCCCAGUUAAUACUUUAGACUCUGCCUUUUUUCUAUAUAAAAAAAGGUGACUAUUGAUGUAGAAAUGGGUUCUUAUGAUGCUAUUGUUUCUAAAUCACUUGUGUGCUCAAUGGAUUGUGUUAUCAUUUUCUUUGUUUUCAGUACUUUUGAUUCAUGUUUUUAAAAUAUUCGGUUUGUGGGUGAUAAUUUGGUUUGUUGUAUUCAGUUGUUAGUAUUUUUUUUUUCAAAUUUAGGUAAGGCUCCGUGUAGGGGGUGCUGCCAAAAUUUAUUUUAAAUGGAUAGAUGGGCUAAAAAAAAAAUUAUAAAUCAUAGAUUGAAAAUUUAAUUGAUUAUUCUUAAUUAUUUAGUUAUAUUGUUUAGAUGCCGAUGAAAAGUUUAUGGUUGAAAUGGAGCGGUUUUGCAUUGUCAAGCAAUGGUGUUCCCAAGCCUGCAAUGCAUUUAGGUGUCGAUUAUGAAGGCACCAAAUGCAUAUCCUAACUACGCAAGCUCUUUAAAUAUGGAUCGCAGAUCUGGCGUCCUAUCUGGUAGAGAUCCUUAUUCUUACAAGUUAAUAAUGUAAUGCAAGCCCGAUUUAAGCAUGCAAGAAAAAUUUAAAUAUAACAUUAAACUAAUGAUUAUGUGUUAAUAUAAUCAACCGUUAAUUAAUUGAUUUUUAGGUUUACAAAUAUAAAAGAUGUGUAAAUGAUUACAUUGAUGAUGAAAGUGCUCUUGUUUCAUUGGGCCAGCUUAAAGAGCAUCCUGAAUGGAUUCCCGUGGUUGAGGCUUGGUGGAGGAAGUUUAAGGUUAGUACAUAUAUAAUCAUGUCACAACUAUGUAAGUUUUAAUGUGUGAAGUAAUAUUUUUUUGAUAAAUUAUAACUGUUGUCCAUUAUAUAUUUUUAUUUAAUAAAUUUCUGAACUAGGUUAUGUGAUUUCCAAUAUGAUGCGCACACUUAUGUUAGGAGAUAUGCAUAUUCAAAUGACUUUGAGAAGUGGAAGACUUGUAGACCUUCCCUUAUCAAUAAGAGUAAAUGGGAGAGAUAUUUAGAGUUCUUCAUGCAGGAGGGUUUUAAGCAUAGUUAUUAAACCCGAACCGGCCUGACGGGUUGACCCGGGACCCAGUCAUCCUGGUGGAUGAAUCAGUUCAGGUAAGGUGAAAGACCGGCACGAGCAAAAACCUGGCAAAACCUAGUUGACCUGCCAGGUUGACUCAUGACCCCGAUGACCCGACAAAACCAGGUAAAAACUUUUUUUUUUCAAAUGUGUUUUUUGUCUUAGCCAAAGACCUCUUUUUUUAUAUUUUUUUGUUGGUUAUUAACCCUUUUCAAAGUUCAAUAUAUAAAUACUAGAAGAAUGCUUUAUUUUUUCAAUUUGAGAUUUGAAACCUUUUAGUAUAUAUACUAUAUGUUCACAACAAAAAAGUUAUGUUUUUUCAAUAUAGAUUAAAAACUUUUUGGUUUAAAUACUUCAACUUAAAAGGAUAACAUAGUAUCUUUUCAAUGCGGGAUAAAAAACCUUUUGAAAUAAUCUUUUAAACUUCAUUAUUUACAACAUAUAUAACCUACAUUCACAUUAUUUACAACAUAUAUAACUUACAUUCACAUGAAUUGUUUCUUAAUUUUUUCAUAUGAAAUAUUAAAACUUCAAAUAUAUAUAUAUUUUAAUUUUUCCAGGUUCUGUAACUUGGGACCUGGCUCCUUAGCCUGGUCGACCCCUGAAUUGAGUUUGAUAACUAUAAUUUUAAGAGGCGUUCAUGGAGUAGGUCCUUAAACAGAAACAAAAAAACUCAUGGUCUCAUUAACGAGUAUACUAUAAGGUCUCUUUCUUUUAAUAACAUGCAAGAUAUUUGGUAGGAGAGUCUAUUUUAAUUUUAAGUAUUUUUUUUAAAAUGAUAAUUAUUAUUUGUGAUAAGGUUUAAUUAUUGACUUAAUUUGUAAGCUAUAUAUAUUGGACGCGAACCAACUCCUAGAAACACAUAUAUAAAAGGAGGAUUAAAAAAAAAAAGUAACAGUUCAUGAACAAUUGAGGAGUGGAGACGUUUAUUUAUUAUAACUAAACUUUUAAACCUCUUGAUAAUUUUCAUAAAAUAAAAUAAAAUUAUAGAGAGUUAUUAAAUAUUUUGAUAUAGAUUGAUAGAAUCACCCAUAUAACAUAGAACAUAAUUGUCGAUUAUUCUAUUGGGUAUUCAUUGAAAGGACGCGAUACAUUAUCAAUGAGUUACCUAUCAGAAGUCCGUCGAAAAUAUUUUUUGAUUGAUAUACUGACAAAAAUUGAUUGUCGUAUAUUUUCAUCACCGAUAAAAAUUUUCAUGGACGAGAUGGUUACUACAGUAAAUCCAUCGAAUAUACUUUUACUGACAAAUAAAUAGCUGCUUUUACACCGACAGAAUACUUGGUCAGUAUAAUUCAAUUUCAUGGUGGUGUCCUGGCUCCUAAAGACUUUCAGCUUUGUUUCGGUUGAAACAUGAAAGAAGUCCAAGCACAACUUGUUAAUAUGCUACAAAUUACAUGUUAUUCUCAAGCCCUACGUGGAGGAUGACAACCAUAAAUUGUACCUUAAAGUAGUGUGAGAUCAUCCAUAUGACAUCACUAUGACAAUAAUAGAUUAAUUGCCGCUGUGAUAGAUUAUUGCUAGAACAUAGAACAAGUAAUGAAGGAAAACAAACGACAAAGACAUUAGUUUUGUAAGGUGUUAAUUAAAUAUAGGCCAUUCUUACAAAAAAGAAGAAGAAGUCAGGCAGGCCACCUAUAGGAAACUCCACCAAAAUGACAAUAUGAUUAUGUCAUGGUGCUUGCAUCACCUUUAUGCGGUAUGCAACACAGCAUCAUGACGUUAUUGCCAUUAUUCUUCUCUAUCCGUAGUAUCCACUCCAACUACAACCUAUCUUUCCAGAAUAAAACAGAGGACUAUUGUGGUUUUCAGUUGCUUUUGCCAGAAUUCAAAUCAAAAUUUUAUUAGGCCUUAAUGAUGAGGUAAUUUUUAAAUCAGCUUUUGUACAUUGAAACUAAAGUUCGCACCAAUCGAGUCUUAAACAAUUGUUUAUGUAUGGGUAGAUGCUUUCACAUUCAAAUCAAACAUGAAAAGCCAAGCCCAUUUCUGUAAAAUACUUCGUGAUACAGGCAUAUGGUGAGUCUCUACAUAGAGUCAGCUAACACGGUCUCUAGAGUGGUUAUAGUGCAAGUGUGGUAUGUGGUUUGGUUUAACCCAUCAAACAUUAUACAAUAAGAGACACUCUAUGGUCUACUGCUUAUGAUUCUCUCUUUGAUAUUUGUUUUUGUUGGGGGAAAUAGCUAGCUAGCUUGGCAUGGAGAGGGAAGCAAAGAAGAGGAAGAUGGAGUAUGUUGAAGAAGAAGAAAAGGGAAAGGAAGAUGAUGAUGAUGAAGAAGAGGAAGAGAAGAUGGAG
This 19686-nucleotide long non-coding RNA is filed under the name Populus trichocarpa (black cottonwood). RNAcentral describes it as "long non-coding RNA (PTRI_LNC001373)". The record is from RNAcentral. Lineage: Eukaryota; Viridiplantae; Streptophyta; Magnoliopsida; Malpighiales; Salicaceae.